This 164-nucleotide small nuclear RNA is filed under the name Echinops telfairi (small Madagascar hedgehog). Its description in RNAcentral is "U1 spliceosomal RNA (ENSETEG00000022133.1)". It matches the Rfam family "U1 spliceosomal RNA". Rfam says of the family: U1 is a small nuclear RNA (snRNA) component of the spliceosome (involved in pre-mRNA splicing). Its 5' end forms complementary base pairs with the 5' splice junction, thus defining the 5' donor site of an intron. Lineage: Eukaryota; Metazoa; Chordata; Mammalia; Afrosoricida; Tenrecidae. The record is from RNAcentral.
AUACCUACCUGGCAGGGGAGAUACCAUGAUCACCAAGGUGACUUUCCCAUGGCGAGGCUUAUCCAUUACACUCCAGAUGUGGUGACCCCUGGGAUUUCCCCAAAUGUGGGAAACUCGACUACAUCAUUUGUGGUCGUGGGGGACUGUGUUCGCGCUCUCCCCGG